GAUUUUUAAUUUGCACCCAUGACCCCACUUGCACCUCUCUCUCUCACACACUCACAGAUCACCCAGUCUUUCUCGCACUCUCAGUCUCAUUAGGUCUGGCCGUCAACAAGCAUUGAAGCACACACGCAGCCCACCACCGGCCACCAGCCCACCACCACGCCACGCCACGCCACGCCACCACCGCCGCGCGCCUCUCAAUCUCUGUAUGUCACGAGAAGUGCUCUGCGUUGCCAGCGUUGGGAAUCUGCACAGCUGCACUCAAGGAGUCAAGGAAGGUCAUGGACAAAUUUUUAGUAAAGAGAGCAAGGUCAUGAGCAAUGUGGAUCAAGCUCAUCAUCAAUGUGCUCAUUUGAAAAAUUUGAACCCCCUGACCCCGGGUCCUGGAUCCGCCACUGGAUGAAUCAAAUAUAUUUUGCAAUCUUCUCAAUUCUUCCCCUCUGAACUCUAAACGUGCUUCAUAUAAAAGGAGGUGUCAGAUGGUUUUUUUAUUACUCCUGGGAAAGGCUAAGGAGAUGGAGGUAUGGAGAAAUUUCUCUACAAAAGGUCUCAAAUCGAGUUUCUUUAGUCAAAUUUCUUUAUGAAUUUUUUUUCAUGGAUUUUAUUGUUAUUUUCAUUUUUAUUAGUGUUUUCAUGUAAUGGAUUCCUUUGUUUCUCACUUCAUUGGUUUAGUAUGCAUUGUUGCAGGUAUAGAGUUAUGUUAAAGCAUUUUAGAGGUUUGUCUAAAGAAACUUUGCUGAUUAUAUGUUUACGCCCUGAACCCAUCUUUGUCCAUCUCGCCAUAAAAAAAAUUCUGUGUUGUUGUUUUACAGCAUAUAGUUUUCUCUAUCAUUUUCUAAUCUUUUUCAGGGAAACCUUGCCCAAUGUUUGAGUAAAACAUGUCAAAAAAAAUGGAUGAUGAGAUAGGUAGCAGGAAAGUCUUCCCUUCACCCCGGUCAUCAUAGGUCCUAUUGAAACUCCUCAAACAUAAAUCAUUCUUUCUCAACCAAUCUGUGUUUUGAGUUGUUGCUUUUCCCCCUUAUUGGUUGAGAUUAUAUUGAUGGAUGAUCAAGUAUGGACUCAUAUCAUUGUAUGAAACUGAAUGUAACUUUUUUUCUUUUUAUUUAGAUUGAUGCAUUUUGAAGUUUGAACCAAGUGGAAAAUCUUUAUAUACCAUAAAUUAGGUUUGCUGCCAUUAACGUUGAUUAGUUUUUCUCCUUACAUUUAGCUUGAUGUUUCUCUUGCUAUAGACACAUUACUUAAUUGUUCAAUUUUAAAAUUAAUUAGUUUGUUGCACACGAUUUCCUUGGCUGUUAUAUAUCCAAUGAACUUUCAAAUUUUGUGAUUGAAAUUACAAAAUUUCAGAUGGAUGGGAGCGGCGGCAGCCGAACCACCGCUACUAAGUUAAUCAAGAAGAUCAAGCAAGAGAAGGAUGCAAUCAUUGGGACAACUUUGAGUUUCAGUAGUUUUGAUUUAUUUAUUUUUUAAAUAAUUGUCCAAUUUUUUAAGAGAAUUUCCAAAACCCUCCC
Lotus japonicus is the source of this 1505-nucleotide long non-coding RNA. RefSeq lists it as uncharacterized. The transcript is spliced from 3 exons. The record is from RefSeq and is a predicted model, not a curated record. Lineage: Eukaryota; Viridiplantae; Streptophyta; Magnoliopsida; Fabales; Fabaceae.